UGGCCGGCAGUCUAGUGACUAUUGUUAAAGUUGAAUUUUUAUAAGAUAAACCUAUCCCCAACCCCAAACCCUUUUCUAACCCUAACCCCUAAGUCCUAACCCUAACCUUUUGAGAGUUAGAAAAGUCGGGAAAAAAAGUUUAAAAAAUUUUAAGAAAAAACAAUGCUAAGUCAAACAAAACACAUCCCGACCCCGACUGCGUUUAACUUUCCGCACGCAGCGCCCUUGCCGUAUGAGCUAACGGCAAGCUCGG
This is a non-coding RNA of Paramuricea clavata, 253 nucleotides long. The record is from the annotation of a GenBank genome assembly. Lineage: Eukaryota; Metazoa; Cnidaria; Anthozoa; Malacalcyonacea; Plexauridae.